RNAcentral lists this ribosomal RNA (468 nucleotides) under uncultured bacterium. RNAcentral's name for it is "partial 16S ribosomal RNA". It matches the Rfam family "Bacterial small subunit ribosomal RNA", at positions 28 to 507 of the family's 1533-position model. The record is from RNAcentral.
GACGAACGCUGGCGGCGUGCUUAACACAUGCAAGUCGAACGGAAAGGCCCUGCUUUUGUGGGGUGCUCGAGUGGCGAACGGGUGAGUAACACGUGAGUAACCUGCCCUUGACUUUGGGAUAACUUCAGGAAACUGGGGCUCAUACCGGAUAGGAGCUCCUGCUGCAUGGUGGGGGUUGGAAAGUUUCGGCGGUUGGGGAUGGACUCGCGGCUUAUCAGCUUGUUGGUGGGGUAGUGGCUUACCAAGGCUUUGACGGGUAGCCGGCCUGAGAGGGGGACCGGCCACAAUGGGACUGAGAGACGGCCCAGACUCCUACGGGAGGCAGCAGUGGGGAAUAUUGCACAAUGGGCGGAAGCCUGAUGCAGCAACGCCGCGUGCGGGAUGACGGCCUUCGGGUUGUAAACCGCUUUCGCCUGUGACGAAGCGUGAGUGACGGUAAUGGGUAAAGAAGCACCGGCUAACUACGUG